This 253-nucleotide ribosomal RNA is filed under the name uncultured bacterium. Its description in RNAcentral is "partial 16S ribosomal RNA". It matches the Rfam family "Bacterial small subunit ribosomal RNA", at positions 524 to 776 of the family's 1533-position model. The record is from RNAcentral.
UACGAAGGGUGCAAGCGUUACUCGGAAUUACUGGGCGUAAAGCGUGCGUAGGUGGUUCGUUAAGUCUGAUGUGAAAGCCCUGGGCUCAACCUGGGAAUGGCAUUGGAUACUGGCGACCUAGAGUGCGGUAGAGGGUGGCGGAAUUCCCGGUGUAGCAGUGAAAUGCGUAGAUAUCGGGAGGAACAUCCGUGGCGAAGGCGGCCACCUGGACCAGCACUGACACUGAGGCACGAAAGCGUGGGGAGCAAACGGG